This 429-nucleotide ribosomal RNA is filed under the name Gemmatimonadota bacterium. Its description in RNAcentral is "Gemmatimonadetes bacterium partial 16S ribosomal RNA". It matches the Rfam family "Bacterial small subunit ribosomal RNA", at positions 355 to 776 of the family's 1533-position model. Lineage: Bacteria; Pseudomonadati; Gemmatimonadota. The record is from RNAcentral.
UAGGGAAUCUUCGGCAAUGGACGAAAGUCUGACCGAGCAACGCCGCGUGAGUGAAGAAGGUUUUCGGAUCGUAAAACUCUGUUGUUAGAGAAGAACAAGGACGUUAGUAACUGAACGUCCCCUGACGGUAUCUAACCAGAAAGCCACGGCUAACUACGUGCCAGCAGCCGCGGUAAUACGUAGGUGGCAAGCGUUGUCCGGAUUUAUUGGGCGUAAAGCGAGCGCAGGCGGUUUCUUAAGUCUGAUGUGAAAGCCCCCGGCUCAACCGGGGAGGGUCAUUUGAAACUGGGAGACUUGAGUGCAGAAGAGGAGAGUGGAAUUCCAUGUGUAGCGGUGAAAUGCGUAGAUAUAUGGAGGAACACCAGUGGCGAAGGCGGCUCUCUGGUCUGUAACUGACGAUGAGGCUCGAAAGCGUGGGGAGCAAACAGG